AGAGUUUGAUCAUGGCUCAGAUUGAACGCUGGCGGUAGGCUUAACACAUGCAAGUCGUGCGAGAAAGUAUCUUCGGAUAUGAGUAGAGCGGCGGACGGGUGAGUAACGCGUAGGAAUCUACCUAGUAGAAGGGGAUAGCCCGAGGAAACUCGGAUUAAUACCGUAUACCUCCUUCGGGAGAAAGAAGGCCUCUCUUUGAAGCUUUCGCUACUAGAUGAGCCUGCGUAAGAUUAGCUUGUUGGUGAGGUAAAGGCUCACCAAGGCUACGAUCUUUAGCUGGUCUGAGAGGACGAUCAGCCACAUUGGGACUGAGACACGGCCCAGGCUCCUACGGGAGGCAGCAGUGGGGAAUAUUGGACAAUGGGCGCAAGCCUGAUCCAGCCAUACCGCGUGUGUGAAGAAGGCCUUCGGGUUGUAAAGCACUUUAAGCAGGGAGAAAAAGUUAUAGGUUAAUACCCUAUAACCUUGAUGUUACCUGCAGAAUAAGCACCGGCUAAUUCCGUGCCAGCAGCCGCGGUAAUACGGAAGGUGCAAGCGUUAAUCGGAAUUACUGGGCGUAAAGCGCGCGUAGGUGGUUUGUUAAGUUGGAUGUGAAAGCCCUGGGCUCAACCUAGGAACUGCAUCCAAAACUAACUCACUAGAGUACGAUAGAGGGAGGUAGAAUUCAUAGUGUAGCGGUGGAAUGCGUAGAUAUUAUGAAGAAUACCAGUGGCGAAGGCGGGCCUCCUGGAUCUGUACUGACACUGAGGUGCGAAAGCGUGGGUAGCGAACAGGAUUAGAUACCCUGGUAGUCCACGCC
RNAcentral lists this ribosomal RNA (799 nucleotides) under uncultured Gammaproteobacteria bacterium. RNAcentral describes it as "bacterial SSU rRNA". It matches the Rfam family "Bacterial small subunit ribosomal RNA", at positions 8 to 801 of the family's 1533-position model. The record is from RNAcentral. Lineage: Bacteria; Pseudomonadati; Pseudomonadota; Gammaproteobacteria.